AGUGAAGACACUGGGGCGUACGGCCGUGACAUUGGGGUCAAUCUUCCAAUUUUAUUAAAUGCAAUUGUUGCUGAGCUUCCUCCUGAUGCAAGCACAAUGCUUCGGAUUGGGAUGACAAAUCCUCCUUUCAUUCUUGAGCACUUGAAAGAGAUAGCAAAUGUCUUGUCUCAUCCAUGUGUAUACUCCUUUUUGCAUGUGCCAGUUCAAUCCGGAAGCGACACAAUCUUAAGUGCAAUGAAUCGAGAAUAUACAGUCAGUGAGUUCAGGACUGUAGUAGAUACCUUAACUGAGCUUGUUCCUGGGAUGCAGGUUGCAACUGAUAUAAUAUGUGGAUUUCCCGGGGAAACCGAU
RNAcentral lists this unclassified non-coding RNA (351 nucleotides) under Hevea brasiliensis (rubber tree). Lineage: Eukaryota; Viridiplantae; Streptophyta; Magnoliopsida; Malpighiales; Euphorbiaceae. The record is from RNAcentral.